RNAcentral lists this long non-coding RNA (992 nucleotides) under Salvia miltiorrhiza (redroot sage). Its description in RNAcentral is "long non-coding RNA (SMIL_LNC007877)". Lineage: Eukaryota; Viridiplantae; Streptophyta; Magnoliopsida; Lamiales; Lamiaceae. The record is from RNAcentral.
GCGGCUGGGCGCAGCUGUGGUGAGGAGAAAACAGAGGGAGAACGAGAGAGAGGGAGAGAGGUCGAAGGGGGCGAGAGAUGAGGGAAGAAGGGAGAUAGGAAGAAGGGGGAAGGGAGAGGAGGCAGGGCCGCCGGCUCCGGUGGCGGCGCUGNGCCGGUCGCCUCACUCUUCCCUCUUCGUUCUCCCCAUCUCGCCUUUCUCUCCUCUGAUUCCACAGGAAAUCCCCAAUUUCUCAAUCCCUAAUAUCUCUUCGGUCGAAAUUCCGGCAAGCCGCCGCGCCUCACUCUUCCCCUCUUCGUUCUCCCCAUCUCGCCUCUCUCUCCUUCUGAUGCCACAGGAAAUCCCCAAUUUCUCAAUCCCUAAUAUCUCUUCGCUCUAAAUUCCGGCAAGCCGACUCACCCCCACUACCACCUGCGAUUCUUCCUCUUCGUAUCACGGCCGAAACCGCUGCCCCCUUCCUCCUCCAUGGACCGGUCGAACACAGCCCAAACAUCCCCGUAUCAAGAUUAAACUUGUAAGUUUUUAUUUCAUUCUUCCGUCUUUGUUCCAAGUGAUCGAUCGAUGUAAAGGUCCAUAUGUCUAUCAUCUGUGACAUGAUUUUGUUAUGAUAUCUAUCUGAAAAUAGAUUGUGGUUUCUUCAAAUUGUCCUUAUGCAGUGACAAUGGGUUUCGGUGAUGGAUUUGACUAUGAUUCUGUAUCUGUAGGGAUUGAAUUAUGAAGAACUGAAUUGAGAGUAUAAGCGGAAGAAACUAUGAUAGAGGGGUGGGGAGUAAUCUCAUCUCAAGUAAGUGGGGAAGAUUUCCUUAAUGGUGGGAGAACGAGAGAGAGGGAGAGAGGUCGAAGGGGGCGAGAGAUGAGGGAAGAAGGGAGAUAGGAAGAAGGGGGAAGGGAGAGGAGGCAGGGCCGCCGGCUCCGGUGGCGGCGCUGCCGUCUGGAGGCGGCAGCAGGAGGGAGACCGAGAGGGAGAACAUGUUUUGCCCUUAAUGGUGGGC